This 47-nucleotide non-coding RNA is filed under the name Schistosoma curassoni. Lineage: Eukaryota; Metazoa; Platyhelminthes; Trematoda; Strigeidida; Schistosomatidae. The record is from RNAcentral.
ACAUUACUGAGGAGUCCCAUACUAGGGACGAAACGGCCGUCCAGUGU